GCGGAUGUGGCGAAACUGGCAGACGCGCUAGACUUAGGAUCUAGUGCCUUAGGCGUGGGGGUUCAAGUCCUCUCAUCCGCACCA
RNAcentral lists this transfer RNA (84 nucleotides) under Lachnospiraceae bacterium. Its description in RNAcentral is "tRNA-Leu". It matches the Rfam family "tRNA". From Rfam's summary of the family: Transfer RNA (tRNA) molecules are approximately 80 nucleotides in length. Their secondary structure includes four short double-helical elements and three loops (D, anti-codon, and T loops). Further hydrogen bonds mediate the characteristic L-shaped molecular structure. tRNAs have two regions of fundamental functional importance: the anti-codon, which is responsible for specific mRNA codon recognition, and the 3' end, to which the tRNAs corresponding amino acid is attached (by aminoacyl-tRNA synthetases). tRNAs cope with the degeneracy of the genetic code in two manners: having more than one tRNA (with a specific anti-codon) for a particular amino acid; and 'wobble' base-pairing, i.e. permitting non-standard base-pairing at the 3rd anti-codon position. The record is from RNAcentral. Lineage: Bacteria; Bacillati; Bacillota; Clostridia; Lachnospirales; Lachnospiraceae.